RNAcentral lists this ribosomal RNA (301 nucleotides) under uncultured bacterium. RNAcentral describes it as "partial 16S ribosomal RNA". It matches the Rfam family "Bacterial small subunit ribosomal RNA", at positions 509 to 808 of the family's 1533-position model. The record is from RNAcentral.
CAGUCGCACGGUAAUACGGAGGGUGCAAGCGUUAAUCGGAAUUACUGGGCGUAAAGCGCACGCAGGCGGUCUGACAAGUCAGAUGUGAAAUCCCCGGGCUUAACCUGGGAACUGCAUUUGAAACUGUCAGGCUGGAGUCUUGUAGAGGGGGGUGGAAUUCCAGGUGUAGCGGUGAAAUGCGUAGAGAUCUGGAGGAAUACCGGUGGCGAAGGCGGCCCCCUGGACAAAGACUGACGCUCAGGUGCGAAAGCGUGGGGAGCAAACAGGAUUAGAGACCCGUGUAGUCCCUGUCUCUUAUACC